This 329-nucleotide ribosomal RNA is filed under the name uncultured eukaryote. Its description in RNAcentral is "partial 18S ribosomal RNA". It matches the Rfam family "Eukaryotic small subunit ribosomal RNA", at positions 1470 to 1796 of the family's 1831-position model. The record is from RNAcentral.
CCCUUAGAUGUUCUGGGCCGCACGCGAGCUACACUGACGAUGGCAACGAGUUUUUCCUUCGCCGAAAGGUGUGGGUAAUCUUUUGAAACAUCGUCGUGCUGGGGAUAGAUCAUUGCAAUUUUUGAUCUUGAACGAGGAAUUCCUAGUAAGCGCGAGUCAUCAGCUCGCGUUGAUUACGUCCCUGCCCUUUGUACACACCGCCCGUCGCUACUACCGAUUGAAUGGUUUAGUGAGGACUCCUGAUUGGCGCCGCCGCCCCGGCAACGGAGCAGCGGACUGCCGAAAAGUUGUUCAAACUUGAUCAUUUAGAGGAAGUAAAAGUCGUAACA